UUUUUGGAAAUUGUGGGAGAAAAGGGAGGGACACGCCAAAACCCUAAUUAAUUUGGAGAAAAAGCCAACCCGCUUAAAUUCCAUAAAAACAAGAGUUUGAGAAUUGUAGGAAAAAAAGAGGGAAGCCAAACCCUUAUUUAUUUGGGGGGAAACGGCCAAACACUAAAUUCUACAAACAUUUUCUUUUAAAUAAAAAAUAAUAUUGUUUCAUUUGAGGAAAAGAGCCAAAACCCCAAACAUUAUCAGACAUUAAUAUUUACAAUCUGGAAAAUUAAUUUGAAUGAUCCGACAGUCAUUUUUUUUUUUUUAUAUAUCUCGAGAUCACAUGUGCCAAAAAUCGCAAAAAAUUGACAUUCAGAUAUUAGGUGAUGGGACGAAACCUUUCAACGGUUAUAAAAGAAAACUCACGAUUUAACGGUUAUUUUAACUUCGAUUUUGCUGAUUUUUUACAACUACACUCCUCAACCCUAUAAGAGUACAAUGAACAAAUUCGAUCUUUAAUUUAAAAUAUUUGCACUAGUGGAUACCACAAAAUAUUAUGUUCUACUUAAUAGAAGUAUAAAAUAAACUCCAAGUGUUUGGUGAAUCUAUCGUUUUCAAAGAAUACACAUUCUACAAAAUUAGUUUCAACGAUCUAACCAACAAACUUGUUUGUAUAUGCUCCAAGAUCGCAUACGUAAAAAAUCGCAAAAAAAUGACAUUCAGAUAUUAGGUAACAGGACAAAACUUUUCAACGGUUAUAAAUGAAAACUCACGAUUUAACGGUUAUUUUAAUUCCGAUUUUGUUGAUUUUUUACAGCUACACUCCUCAACCCUAUAAGAGUACGAUGAACAAAUUCGAUCUUCAAUUUAAAAUAUUUGCACUAGUGGAUACCAUAAAAUAUUAUGUUCUACUUAAUGGAAGUAUAAAAUAAACUCCAUGUGUUUGGUGAAUCUAUCAUUUUGAAGGGAAUACACAUUCUACAAAACUGGUUUCAACGAUUCAAUCAUCAGACUUGUUUGUAUAUGCUCCAAGAUCGCAUACGUAAAAAAUCACAAAAAACAGACAUUCAGAUAUUAGGUAACGGGACAAAACAUUUCGAUGGUUAUAAACGAAAACUCACGAUUUAACGGUUAUUUUAACUCCGAUUUUGCUGAUUUUUUACAGCUACACUCCUCAACCCUAUAAGAGUACGAUGAACAAAUUUGAUCUUCAAUUUAAAAUAUUUGCACUAGUCGAUACCACAAAAUAUUAUGUUCUACUUAAUGGAAGUGAUAUGGUUAUACUUUAUUCAAUGUCCGUGACAAAUGUUAUGAGUUAACAAGGGCAAACAAAUUAUUUAUUUAUGAUAGAAUACUAUAUUAAGUUAUACACCUUUUUGCUCAAUGGUUUAUUUUUAAUUUUAAGUUCCAAUCUUCUCCAUAUAUAUUCUAAGUUAUAUGAUCUAUUUAUUGUAGAAUUUAAAUUAAGCAUCAAACUUAUUUUAAGAAUAUUCCCCGUAAAUAAUUGAUUCUAACAAAACCACAAACCUUAAAAAUUUAUUCUGACAAAGAAAAAAUUUUGUCGGAAAAAAUAUGAUUACUUCCGACAACAACUAAUCACCCUCGAAAAUAUAAAAGUAUUACCGAGAGGACUUUUUCCCCUAAAAAAUAUAAAAAUAUUACCGAGAAAACUUUUUUCCCCUCAAAAAUACUAAAUCAAUUUCGUCAACAUGAGUAAACCUUCGGAAAUAACCAUUCUAUUUCCGAUAAGAACUUUACUCGUCGUUAAUACAACUAGCACCAAUUCUUCCCGCCAAACAAAAGUGCAUUUCAUGCGAAACUUGAGACUUUUUCCGAGGACAUUAUGUGCGUUGGUAAUAAAAACUUGUUUCAUGCCAUGUUACCGACGACCCAUAUUUUAUGGUCGCAAAAUGUGCUUUUUACGACGGUUUUUUUGGGCCCUUGGAAAAUCUUCGUCGGUAAUGACUAAUUUUUUUUUUGUAAUGGUAGUUUGUCAUACUAAUUAAUAUUUAAGAUAAAGUUUAUAGAUAUUUUUCUUUUAAAAAUAAAGUAUGUUUAGUAUUUCACCUUUAUUUGUUAAGAAAAUUAAAUUAAUGGCACAUCUAGUAUUAUACCCUUUUUUGUCAUUUCACACAGUUACAACUGUUUUACAUAAAAGUUUACCAACACUAUAAUAUUUUUUUUUUCCAAAAACACUUUUACAAAAAACAUUUACCAAACACUCUACUGCUUUAUUUCACAGCUAUUUAUUCUCACAGUACAGCAGAAGUAGUUUUUUUUUUCAAAGUACAGUAAUACCAAACCAGCCCUUAUAUUAGUGUCAUGUAAGCCAUUUCGUUACUAUGUAAAAUCAGUAUAACACUAAUUUAUCCUUAUUUUGAAAACUAUUGUUUAUGAUAAGGGGAUAACAAAGUAAAAGCAAAGAAAUGAUUGGUAUUUUCAGAGAGAGAUUAGCAAGCUAUCUUGUCACAU
Molecule: long non-coding RNA, 2454 nt
Filed under: Malus domestica (apple)
Lineage: Eukaryota; Viridiplantae; Streptophyta; Magnoliopsida; Rosales; Rosaceae
Description: long non-coding RNA (MDOM_LNC010107)
Source: RNAcentral